This 74-nucleotide transfer RNA is filed under the name gamma proteobacterium HdN1. It matches the Rfam family "tRNA". From Rfam's summary of the family: Transfer RNA (tRNA) molecules are approximately 80 nucleotides in length. Their secondary structure includes four short double-helical elements and three loops (D, anti-codon, and T loops). The record is from Rfam by way of RNAcentral. Lineage: Bacteria; Pseudomonadati; Pseudomonadota; Gammaproteobacteria.
GCGCCCGUAGCUCAGCUGGAUAGAGCGCACCCCUCCUAAGGGUGAGGCCACAGGUUCAAAUCCUGUCGGGCGCA